GCUUCACUUCACAAGGCAAAUGCUACAGCCCUGGCAAUCACUGUGACCAUCUCUAGGCUUGCUGAAAGUGAUCAGCACUGGAACAGAGGAGAUUCAAAACUGAAUGCUCAAGUUCUGUGGACUUUCCCAGAGAAGAAAGAGGGAUUGGAAGAGUUUGAAGAGUUUGAAACUCUGUCAAAGGAAAUAGUACCAUCAUGUUAUUUGUGCUAAUAGGUGCUGAAGUUGAGCAGUUCUUAUUAAUGUUGCUGCUCAUUUUUUUCUUCAUAAAUAAUGAUCUUUUCAAGUUAAAAAUAAAAACACUGAGAUUUUUACACUAAGAAGACAUUUAUUUAUUUGUGAAUCUGUGCUCCAAGCUGCCAUUGUUAUACUUGUCUUUUUGUUCAAGAAAGGUAGACAAAUUACUAUUCUAAUAAGAAUGUAUGGAAAUUUAAAAAAAGAAAAAAAGAAAGAAAGAGAGUGUCUCAGAGCCAAUAGGAAAAUCUCCAGUUCUGAGUCUCCAAGCUGAAAGAGACAGUGUCCAAUCUGAGAGAGAGAGCAUCCUAGUUGAGAGAAAAGCCCUCCAAUCCUAGUGGGACUCCCUCCAAUUCAAGAGAGAUGCCCUCUGAAUCGAGAGAUUCUCCCUAUAAUCCAAACUUGACAGUCUCCAAUUUCAACAAGACACCCUCCAGUAUGAGCGAUACGCCCUCCAGUCCUAGAGGGACAUCCUCAAGUCUGAAUGGGACAUACUCCAAACUGAGCGAGACAGCUUCCAGUUCACAAUAUUUAGUCUUCAAACUGAACUAAACAGAAUUCAGGCUCAUCGAGUCAUGCUCAAAUACGAACUAAAUACCCUCAUAAUUGAACGAGACAGACUCUGAGUCAAGCUGCAGAGUGAGAGCGUUAGAACUGUCCAAACUGAUCAACCACGGGAGGCACCACGUUUGAUGUCAGUUGCCCAUGUAAGAGGACAGAAAAUGAAGCAAAUCUUGACUCAUAACAGAAGAAAGAGGAGGAGAAGAAAGUUGAGGGAGGAGGAAAGAGGUCCAGAGGACUGGCUCCAAGCUCUAAGGGACCAUCUAGAGAGAGAGCUGAGACACCCAAUAAGACUGCAGUCACCAACACCCAGGAGGACAACAAGAAGUCCUGAAAGAGUAGGAGGUGACCAAGACAUUGUUACCAUUACUGAUCGAUCUCUGAAAAUGGAUGAAAUUCGAGGUUUGAGAAAAGACUUCACACCACCCAAAUGAGCCUACUGUCACCUGGUUACUGAUGUACUCACACCUGGGGCUGAUCAAAUUGGUUUCCUUCCAGCCUGCAUCAUCCAACGUCUCAGCUAUCAAAAGAAGACAUCCUCCUGCUCAAGCAAGUGACAGUAGUAAGAUUAUGUCACAUUUUGCCUUGAGGCGUUACCUACAUGACCAUGGAGGCAUAAAAAAACCACUCCUGAACUUCAAGCAUGGGUAAAAGAAUUACAAGACAGAUCAACCACCAAGGUGAACUUCUCCAUAAAGGUGAUUGAUCCAGUUGCUGUGGGACAUGACAGUAGCUGUAAGAACGACAGAGGUAACAAAUAGAGGGGCCCUGCCCCCAGCCAGUGGGGGGAAAGGGAUAAUAGAGUGUAUUGGACUGUGUGGAUUAGAUGGCCUGGAACAUCAGAACCACAGCAAUAUAGGGCCCUGGUGGACACUGGUGCACAGUGCACUGUAAUGCUCUCGAGCCACCAAGGGACAAAAUUAUUUUGUAUUCAUGGAGUGACUGAGGGUUCCCAAGAGUUCACUAUGUUGGAGGCCAAUAUAACCCUCACCGGUAAAGACUGGCAAAAGCACCUUACUGUGACUGGCCCAGGGGCUUCCUGUCUACUUGGUAUCAAUUACCGCAGAAGGGGAUAUUUUAAGGAUCCCAAGUGGUAUCAAUUGGCCUUUGGAAUAGCUGCUGUACCCAGAAGGUGUUAAGCAGUUGUCUGUUUUGCCUGGCCUGUCAGAAGAUCUGUCUUUUUUGGCCACAGUUUGCUUUAACCUGGAGGGGUGUUCAGUACACCUGUAAUUGUUUGCCCCAGGGGUGGAAACACAGCCUAACCAUUUGGCAUGCAUUGAUCCAAGCUGCACUGGAACAGGGAGGUGCUCCUGAGCACUUACAGUACACUGAUGACAUUAUUGUGUAAAGCAACACAGCAAGGGAAGUUUUUAAGAAAGGAGAGCAAAUAAUCCAGAUCCUUCUGUGCACUGAUUUCACUAUUGAGCAAAGCAAAGUGAAAGGACCUGCCCAGGAAAUUCAGUUCCUAGGCAUAAAAUGGCAAGAUGGACAUUGUCACAUUCCAACAGAUGUGAGGCCAGUACGGACGGGACAGGAUGUAAAGAAAAUUCUCUACACCACUGCUGGAGAGAAAGGUCCCACCUGGAGUUUGUGGCAAAGAGCCUCAGGAGAGACCUGAGACCUAUCCCUGGGAUUCUGGAUUCAAGAAUACAGAGGGUUGAAAGAGUGCUACACUUCAACUGAGAAGGAGAUCUUAGCCGUGUAUGAGGGGGUUUGGGCUGCUUCUGAAGUAAUUGGUACUGAAACACAGCUCCUUCUGUCACCUCGACUGCCAGUGUUACACUGGAUGUUCAAGGGAAAGGUUUCCUCCAUCCAUCAUGCUACUGAUGCCACUUGGAGCAAGUAGAUUGUGUUGAUUACACAACGAGCUCACAUGGGGAACUUCAGUCGUCCAGGAAUUUUAGAGGUGAUUAUAGACUGACCUGAAGGUAAAAAGUUUGGAACAUCACUAUCAGAAGAGGUAUCGCGAGGUAAAGAGGCCCUACCAUACAAUGAACUACCAGAAAAUGAAAAGAAAUAUGCCCUGUUCACAGAUGGAUCAUGUCAUCUUGUGGGCAAGAAUCACAGAUGGAAAGCUGCUGUGUGGAGCCCCACAUGACAAGUUGCAGAGGCCACUGAAGGUAAAAGAGAAUCAAGCCAAUUUGCAGAGGUAAAGACUGUCCAACUGGCCUUAGAUGUUGCUAAAUGGGAGAGGUGGCCAAUGCUUUAUCUUUAUACUGACUCAUGGAUGGUAGCAAAAGCCUUAUGGGGGUGGUUAUAGCUGUGGGAGAAGAACAAUUGGCAAAGAAGGGGUAAACCUAUUUGGGCUGCUGAACUGUGGAAAGACAUUGCUGCCCGAAUAAAGAAUAUGGUUGUAAAGGUGUGCCAUGUAGAUGCUCAUGUGCCAAAGAGUUGGGCUACUGAAGAACAACAAAAUAACCAUCAGGUAGAUCGAGCUGCCAAAAUUGAGGUGGCUCAAAUAGACUUGGACUGGCAGCACAAGAGUGAAUUAUUUCUAGCUUGGUGGGCCCAUGAGACGUCGGGUCACCAAGGAAGAGAUGCAACAUAUAAAUGGGCUAGAGACCGAGGGGUGGACUUAACUAUGGACACUAUUGCACAGGUUAUUCGUGACUAUGACACAUGCACCACAAUUAAACAAGCCAAGAGGAUUGAAAUCUCUCUGUGGGGAAGGGCUGUGGCGAAAGUAGAUACAUGGGGAGGCAUGGCAGGUUGAUUAUAUCACCUUGCCAUGGUCUCGCAAUGGUAACUGUUACGUGCUUACCAUGGUAGAGGCAACCACUGGGUGGCUUGAAACAUGUGCAGUACCCCAUGCUACUACCCAAAACAGCACAUUAGGUCUUGAGAAACAAGUUCUCUGGUGACAUGGCACUCCAGAAAGAAUCAGAUCAGACAACGGGACUCAUUUCAAAAAUUCUCUUAUAAAUACUUGGGCCAAAGAUCGUGGUAUUGAAUGGAUUUAUCAUAUCCCUGAUCAUGCACCACUUUCUGGUAAAAUGGAACAUUACAAUGGGUUGUUAAAAACCACGUUGAAAUCAAUGGGUGGUGAAUCAUUUAGCACUAGGAGAAGCAUUUGGCAGAAGCCACCUGGUUGGUCAACACUCGAGCAUCCAUCAGUUGCGGUGGUCCUGCUGGCUCCCUGUAUACUGUCAAGGGGGAUAAGGUCCCUGUAGUACAUGUAAAGAACAUGUUGGGAAAAGCAGUUUAGGUCUUUCUAGCUUCUGGGAAGGGCAGAGCUCUUCACAGGACUGUUUUAUACCCAGGGACCUGGGUGCACUUGGUGGGUGAUGCAGAAAAAUGGGUAUGUUCCAUGUGUACCACAAGGGAACUUGAUGUUGGGUGAGUGCAGUCAGUAACUCCAUGUGUAUAUAUAUGUUUGUGUUCCCGUGUGAUUAAUGUGUUGUAAUUAUGGUUUGUUUGUAUAUAUUAAGCAUGAUGUAGCAAUGUAGAAUAAGGGGUGGAAUGUCAUGGUUUUACAAUUUUUGGUUAUUGGUAUUCCACAUCAUGACAUCAUGUAGUGCACUGGGAGUUUAAGAGUUAAUGCUCCAGUUCCAGAUACCUGUCCUAGAAGAGAAGAAGAACUACAUAACCCGGAGGACUCUGCAUUCAGAGAAGAGAUAAAAUUCCUGGCAAAGUCACGGGACCUGGCACUUCUCCCUUCUACUCGUCCCAACCACGUCUCACCUCAGCAUUAGAAUAAGGCCUUCCGUUUUUUGGACACUCUUUCUCAUUUAAUUUGAUUUAUUAGCUUCAAUUCUAAUUAUAUUGUAUUAUACUGUAUUAUAAUGUGCUAUCUCGCAUUCUGAUAUGUUUAGUAAAUUAAUAUGUUUCUCCUCAGAUCACUGUCACUGUUUUGUUUUAGGCCCAUCUCUCUAUCCUUUUCCCUUAUCCCUUUCUGGGGUGUGGAUCUGCGAGUCCUUGAACCCUGCUAGUCAUGGAACUGGGCCAAAUCAGUCUGUAAACCGUUGAUAAGCUAUAACAUUUAUUUUUGAUACAAAAAUUUUACAACCUCACAAAGAAGUAGAUAUAAAUUUUGGGUGCUUAUGCAACUGGAAAUAAUAAUAAUAAUAAUAAAUUAAUGAAAAUAUUAUUCACUGAGGUCCUGGGGCUCAAUUGUCAAAUUUACUAGCAAAGAUCUCUCUAUGGGCAUUAUAGAGUAAUACAUGCUGCUAAAAGACGCACCAGAAAUUUCAUGCAGAUAUUGUAACCCUCAAGUGUAACUUCCUGCACAGAAAGAAAGGGAUUUGGUUCUAGUGCCUGGACAAUUCAGAUUAAGUAUUUAAAUAGCAGUGUUUACUUAAUAGAUGAGGAUUAAUUUUCACAUGGAGAUAUUUAGUGUCCUUUGAGGAUGCUUUGUGUAUCCACCAUGAUGUUCAACAGCUUCAAGAAGAAUACAUGUCCUCUGUAGGUGCUGUAUUUUCAUAUAUUUUAACCCCAUAAAUAUGUCUUGGAUAUCCUAGGGAGGUUUAAAUAUGAGUAUACAUUUAAGUAAAAUGUUUGAAGUAAAACAGAGAGGCAUAAAAGUUAUACUAAUGAUGCUCUAUGUCAGGAAUGCUGAAGUCUCAGACACCUAAUUCAUUUUACAUUAAAAAACAAAAGAUUGAAAAAUAGAUUGAAAAGAGGAGAAUAUCACAGAAGUCUUACCCCCUGUUAAUUCUGUACCGCAAAUUACCGUUUUUCCUGCAUCUCUUAUUUUGGUAUGCUUGUAUGUUAAGAGAAAAACACGUAGUCUCCCUAGUUUACCUGUACUUUUGCAAUUUCUACACUCUCUUGAAACAUGAGACGUUUGUUUCUGAAUCAUCUUAUGUAAAGGCUAUAUAUAUUGAGCCUUUCUUCAGGACAUCACAAAUGAGCACUUUAACUCAGUGUUUUCUGAAAAAAAAAAAAAAAUGGAAUGAGAGGCAGUGAACUUGUCCUUUGACCACUUGUUUGAAUGAAAAUCAUCAUGGUUCCUCUGCUUUGAGACAAUUUCUCGUAGAUUAACUAUACUGAAUUCUGAGCAAACCUCAGAAUUAUAUACUGUGUUUAAUUCUUGAAAACAUAGAUCAAGCAGUAACAAAACAAAUGUCUGGACAUAGAAGUUAAGGUUACUUAUAAUGUUCUUUAGUCUUAUCUGGUAUAAAAUAAACAUAUUUGUCAGAAUUUGGAAAAUAAAUGUAUUUAUUAUUUACUUGACUCUCUGUGGAAUGUUUGGAACAGAUUGGCAAACAGUUCACAAAGCAUAAAGUGAAUACUUCAAAAUGAACACCUCAAGCAGAAAGCUGCUGGGCUCUGUGUUAUCACUCCCUCAGAUCUUCAUUAAGAGAAGUUUCAUGUUGGGGAUCAAGCCCCUUCCUUAUGGAAUUAUUUGUACACAUUUCCUUAUCACAGACUUCUUCCUCCUGGUUGAGAACCAUAUAAAGUUUAACAGCUGUCCAACAGUUUCUUCAAACCUCAGGUAAUAUCAAGAAGACUAUUGCUAUACUAUAAUCAUUAUGGUUGGACAGAACUUCAUCCUAUCCUAUUCACAGAGCUGAGGCUGUAGCAGAGCAAGAAACAUACACUUCAGUGCUUGAUAUUUAGAGUGAAGAAAUCUUUGUCACAGCCAAAAUGAGCAUUGACAAGUCCUAAGACUCCUCUUUGUAACAUCAAUAUGAAGCCUAUCUUCUUGUACUAGGAAUAAAAUAAUUUCAAUACCAGUAGUGAUAAUAAUAAAGUAAUAAAAAAUCAUAUUUAAUAAGAUAAAAAAUCAUUCACAAUAGGCUAAAUAGUUACUGGGCUCAUACCUGCAGUAAGAAAAUGACUGUUUUAUUGUUGCAGGAGUCUGACUUGGAGCAGAGAACAACUUAACUCAGGACAUUGAAUGUUUUUACCACAAGGUAAUGCUAAUCAAAUAGAAGUACUUCAUUUUGUGACAAUAUCUCAUUGAUUUCUCCUCCUUGAUUACAAGGAUUGUGUAUUCAGUGUUUAAGCUAAAAAAAAAAAAAAAAAAAAAAAAAAAAAACCUUAAAAAUCAUAUUUCCACUAAAUUUAAACAGACUUUCACAAAAGGAAAUAUUCAUUUCUGAUGAAAUCAGAAUUUAAAUUAAACUUAAAUUUAAAUUAAAGAGCAUUCUUCACAACUUGUGUGAACAAAAGUAAUUAUAGCAGGAGCAUAUCUAGCAUAUCUGAAUAACUAGAAAAAAAAGAAGAAAAUAAUUCCAUAAAGCAUUAAACUCAGAAAAAAAAAAAAAAAAAAGAAAAAAAAAAAACAUAAAUUGUUCUGGUAGAAAGUAGUAAUUGUUUAAAUAUAUAUAUAUCAAUGCCAUUAUUAAGAUAGUAUCAUUAUUAAAUUCUAACAAGCUUAUGACCAAACAAAGUGAAAAGAGAGAAUUAGAAUAAAAGCUCAGGGGGAUAUUACUAAGAUUCAGAAACAUCCACUUUUUUUUUUUUUUCCAAGUGUAAAAAAUACACUUAUGAAGCCUUGCACUUUCUCAAUCACAGUAUAUCAAGCUUCUUUGAUAUUUUUAUGGGCUAAGAUGCCUAAUACCUCUAUUCAGUAAUCACUGUCACUUAUUAUAGCAGAUGUUUGAUUUGAGGAGACAAUUUGUUAGAAUCUGAGCAGCAAAUUACAGUCACAUAGCAAAGCUUGUGUAAUAAUUAGUUUACAAUCAUAUUCCUAGGUGUUUCACUUUUGGAGCAGUGGAAAUGUUUUGAAGAUUCAGUUGUUUAACAAGGACAUUAGCAAAGCUGUAACAUAAAAUCUCUUUGUAAAGAACAGAUCAAAAUUGUUUUCAGAUUAUUAGUAAUCAGUCAUGUCUUGAUCACCAUGGUUCUGCACGUUUCAGGUACCAAAGAAAAUAAAGAAGAAUCUUUGUUUUGCUCCUUUCAAUUUUUUUAACUCACACCAUAAAAUUCAAGAGAUGAAUGGGAUAUAAUCUAGGUGCGUGUUGAUUGUUCUAUAUAGCAGUAAUAAAAUUGUGGAUAAUAUGUGUUUCUAAGGAAGUUAUAAAGCCUCAUUUUAUUUCCGGUGCAAAAAGACUCAUGUUAUCCAGUGAAUAUUUUUCACUGAAAUCAUUGUAGGUUCUGUUCUAUUACCCUAAUUUAUGGGGAAAAAAAAGAGUCCUAAAAUAUUGUUGAAUAUAAAGACAUAAUAACUGGC
Long non-coding RNA from Gallus gallus (chicken), 7909 nucleotides. RefSeq lists it as uncharacterized. The transcript is spliced from 3 exons. The record is from RefSeq and is a predicted model, not a curated record. Lineage: Eukaryota; Metazoa; Chordata; Aves; Galliformes; Phasianidae.